ACCCGGACGGUCACGUACGGGACCCGUCCACGUCCGCGCUCUGCGCGGCGAGAUGCAAGGGUCCGCGAUGGCCGGCCCGGUGGAGGUUGUGCCAUG
Chloroflexi bacterium RBG_16_70_13 is the source of this 96-nucleotide non-coding RNA. The record is from Rfam. Lineage: Bacteria; Bacillati; Chloroflexota.